Musa acuminata subsp. malaccensis (wild Malaysian banana) is the source of this 1657-nucleotide long non-coding RNA. RefSeq lists it as uncharacterized. The record is from RefSeq and is a predicted model, not a curated record. NCBI's taxonomy places the organism in Eukaryota, Viridiplantae, Streptophyta, Magnoliopsida, Zingiberales, Musaceae.
CCAUUAGCCAUAUAUUCAUACACAAGACAGCCAUACUCCGGGCAGGCACCUAGAAGCAGAACCAUGUUUGGAUGCCUAAUGCAGCUCAGUAUUUCAACCUGUGCAAUCAAAGGCUGUGAGUGUCAGAAGCUACGUCGCUUGUCGCUGCAAGAGUUUGCUAUUCUAUUCAAUGAGGUACCUGAUAAAAGGGGGAAGGAGAGGGAAAAAGAGCAGUUGGGAGUCAAAAUGCACCUUCUGAACCAAGCAAGAAGUGAUGAGACAUUGCAUUAGGCUUGAGGCUCACUUGGCUUUGAAUUUGAUCACGAAGAGGAGAAACAAUUGGAGCUAGUCGUGUGGCAUUCUUCAUGGCUGAUACUUUCCCUUUGGCUAUUACAUAAACGGUGCAGAAAUCAGGUGCCCCCUUUGUGAUAUUGGCGGUGAUAUCGUGAUGUUUGAAUCUCCUGAGGAGGAACAAGAGUAAGGCCGGCACAAGAAACAGCGAAACGGAAGGAAGAGUUCUUUUGUAUGAUGAUCCAUUGGUUCUAUGCAACCACCGGCAUUCUUUCGGCUCGAAGCUGUACUACAUGAAAAAUUUGCCGGAUCAAGAAAAUGAAUGCAUGCUUGAGAAUCAAAGGUGGGGAGGAAGAUGUGUUACUAACUUGAGUGGCUCCUAACGUUGACGUGGAUGAGGGUGAGGGUGUGGCCUCUGGUGACAAGGUUUUCUGCUGCCCAUUUCAGAGCAUUCUGGCUUCCUUUGUCCUUGUCAAUGGCCACUGCCACCAAUGGAGAUGCCGCAUCGACAUGCAUGUGUUCUAGACGCCCACUGCUCCUUUUUCAGACUGCCGGAAAGGAAGAAGAAGAAGAAGAAUGGUUGAUCCUUUUUCUCAGCUACAAUUUGCUCUCUCCCUUCAAAUGGUGAACUCCUCAGCCGUGGGGCUCUCCAUCGUUUCAGGUAUGCUCUCCAAUUUUUCUCCUUCCUCGGAGACAAUUGACCACUCUUCCUUCUCCCCUAUUCUUGGGGGUUGGUAUACUCUAGGCUAUGCAACAAGUUCCAUACCCGAUUGCGACUUACCCACCCGGUUACCUCGUGGACGGUGGAGUUCACGUGGGACCCGUGACAUCAUUGCUUCCAACGACCAUUCAGAGUAAGUAAGGUGGGAGAAGUCUAUUUUGUUGUCCUAAAAACUGAGGUGGGGGGAUUAUACGGGUACGAGCUUGAACCGGGUUUGUUGCGGCGCAUUGCAUAUGGAUCGAACCGGACCUACGGGUUUUAAUGAGUACGUAUUCUGUCAUUUAAAGAAUUUCAAAAUCACCUUUGCUAAAUUUAAGACAUUUAAAGGAAAAAAAUAAUAUCUCAAGUUCUUUGAUCGAUUAAUUAUCGUGGACGAGUGCCUUUCUUUCGUGAUGGAAUAAGCUGUGUCAACACAUCAGAAUUCAUGGACAGCAACAGCAAGGCGAAAUAUGGAAUCAGAUUCAACCUGUUCGACGUUAAAUCCCGAUGAACCUAAACAGCAGACACCCAUAGAAUAUUAGGCUAUAUGCAUUUAGGAGGUUAUGUCGCCACAUUAUUAUCAUAUCGAGAAGCAAGAAGGAUAACAAGGAACCGGAAAGACUAGAUAAGAGCGGGAUACUGCUUGGCUUGCUGUCGAACACGUCUUCUGUACUCCGAUAGAUCCUG